AAAGUGAAGACCACCAACACCCAAAAAAGCAAAAACAUAGUGAAGACCUCAAGAAACCCUCUGCUUCUCUCACAAUUUCUCCGGCCCUCUGUUAACACAAACAUGAAGAAAUGUUUUGAGACCGGCCAAUCCUCCACCAACGAAACCUUAAGUGUGAAGAGAAAAGGAAAGAAGCCCAUUGCCCCAAGGAAGGAAAGUGAACUGAGAGAUAACAAGCACAAGAAGCAUACAUGUUCUAAAGGGAGGUUUGAGAAAACGAUGAAGAAGCAGCAAAGUUUGGAAUCAAAGAUAGCAGAUCUUAAGAGACAAAUGGACCGCGAGGAGUUGCAGGAAUACCAAGAAAAGCUGGGACGAUUGGAGCAGAACCUUGCCGAGAUUAGAACGCAAUUCUCUCUGGCAAAAGAAAUAAAUGAUGACAACCAGAUUUUCUUGAACUCUAUAAUUGCUCUUUUGUUCCCUUGAGGAGCAGUGGGGAACUAACUCCAGAUGAUUAAGUGCUAAGAGUUCCAAACUUGUGGGAAGGAGGAAAUCAAACUUCGGGAGUUCUCCUUUUAUCCAAUUAGAGUAUAUUUAGUUAUCGAACAUCAGUAUCGUGACAUGAUGAUUGUUUUAAGACUUUAUAUGGAGUGUAAACAAUGUUGUUUGUUUUUCAUUUCAUUUAAUUUAUUCGCUUGAAGACUUUA
RNAcentral lists this small RNA (683 nucleotides) under Theobroma cacao (cacao). RNAcentral describes it as "sRNA Tc07v2_g014120". The record is from RNAcentral. Lineage: Eukaryota; Viridiplantae; Streptophyta; Magnoliopsida; Malvales; Malvaceae.